This 483-nucleotide ribosomal RNA is filed under the name uncultured bacterium. RNAcentral describes it as "partial 16S ribosomal RNA". It matches the Rfam family "Bacterial small subunit ribosomal RNA", at positions 899 to 1397 of the family's 1533-position model. The record is from RNAcentral.
ACUCAAAGGAAUUGACGGGGGCCCGCACAAGCAGCGGAGCGUGUGGUUUAAUUCGACGCACCACGAAGAACCUUACCUAGAUUUGACAUGGACCUGCAUGGCCGUGAAAGCGGUCAGCCUUCGAGGGUGGUCCACUGGUGCUGCAUGGCUGUCGUCAGCUCGUGUCGUGAGAUGUUGGGUUAAGUCCCGCAACGAGCGCAACCCUUGCCCUGUGUUACCUGUGUCACAGGGGACUGCCGUGGUCUAACCACGGAGGAAGGCGGGGAUGAUGUCAAGUCCGCAUGGCCCGUACGUCUAGGGCGACACACACGCUACAAUGGCCGGAGGAAUGCGCGGCGACCUGGCAACAGGCAGCGAAUCGCCAAGACCGGUCUCAGUGCAGAUUGGGGGCUGCAACUCGCCCCCAUGAAGGCGGAGUUGCUAGUAACCGCGUGUCAGCAAAGCGCGGUGAAUACGUACCCGGGCCUUGUACACACCGCCCGU